UGGAGGCUUGAGAAGGUAGAGCAGUGAAUUCUCGUACUGCUUUUUACUGGUUAUAGCCUCCUACAUCAACUUUGCUGAAUCGUGAUGUUUCCCGGUGUCUGUUGGGAAAUUAUCUAUCAUUUGGUAAAAACAA
This is a small nucleolar RNA of Bombina bombina (fire-bellied toad), 133 nucleotides long. RefSeq annotates it as small nucleolar RNA SNORA47. Lineage: Eukaryota; Metazoa; Chordata; Amphibia; Anura; Bombinatoridae. The transcript has a single exon. The record is from RefSeq and is a predicted model, not a curated record.